Molecule: non-coding RNA, 1477 nt
Organism: Pelodiscus sinensis (Chinese soft-shelled turtle)
Lineage: Eukaryota; Metazoa; Chordata; Testudines; Trionychidae
Source: RefSeq, a predicted model, not a curated record
CCCCCCCCCUUUUCUCGCCUCUCCCUUUCGUGGCUGAGCCUAAUUCAUUUCCAGAAUAAUGGCUGAGAAACGCCAGAUCCCCUGCCUUUCCUCCUCAUUCCCACGGUGGUGAUCCCCAAACUGACCCUUCAAGAGGGUUACAAGUGGUUUUUAAUACAAAUCCGGAUUUCUUGAGGGACCCAGCCUCUUCCCUAGAGACCUUCCUUACUGGAAUGAGACGGAUCACUUUAAAACAGCCUGCAAAAAUAGGAUCAACGUCAAAAUUCUGCCCACAACUCUGACGCUGAGUCUGGCUACACAUUCAAUCAAAUUUCUCCUACUGCAGUUUCCUAGGCAACCAACUUAGCCUUGGAAGCAGGCUGCACAAAAAGGAAGAGAACAAAAAGCUCUGCAACAUUUUCACUCAUGUCGUUCUUUUCCCAUCAUUUAAAAGCACUGCAAAUGCAGGAGUGGGAAAAACAGCGUAGCAUAAAGCCAAGAUCUGGCCAAGGGGUUAUACUUUUAUCCCUACUGUACUCAUGAAAGAAGGACUAAGAUGAAGUCACUCCAGUUUACCUAAUGAAGUUCAGAGGAUCAACCCGGUUUUAGUUACUUUACCCUUACCCUGUUUUUCCAUGCCUAUCCUCCUUCCAGCUGAGAGAGGCUGGAUGUGAGCCCUUUCUAACCCUGCUGCCUCAUCGCUUGAAAUGGUCAGCAUUGUGAGCCGGGCUUGAUUUUCCCUCCGAGGUUCUGAGAGUGUUACAAAGGCCUUGUUAGUCCAGGUAAGAAAAGAUCAGGUGAGGGAAUCAUUCUUACUUCAUAGCAAGUAAAUAAUCAAUACCUCUCACAGCAGCACAGUUUGUGGUGCAUGCUGCAGUGUCACUCAGAGCUCCAUUUCCCUCUAUUGGUAAAAUGUGUUUCUGUCCUCUUAUGUUGAGAUUCAUUCCUGAAAUUCUUCAAAGGAAGGAGCUGACACAAAGGUCUCUGGGCUGUAGACUCUGUGGCUUAAUAUAGGGCACAGUCUUGAGUUACCUGUACCAUGUAGCAUUUUAAAACUUAUUUCUACUGACUGAUGGAGUGCUCAAAGUCAGGAUGAGGUGCCCAUUGUGCUAGCCCACCAACAUUGGCUGGUCCCAAGCACCCUGUAUUCCCAGAAACUUACAGUUCAAAUGGAUGACAGAUGGUGGAAUGAUCCAAAAUGUGUAAGCACAGACCCCACUCUUGAAAUCCGAUUCUCAGAGCUGGACCCCUGUGGCUGUUAAGAUUCCCCAUGGACUUCAGUGGGGCAGCAUGAGUGAAUAAUGGUCUGCCCAUGUGGAUCAAAUUGCAGGUCUGAGUCAUCAGGGUGAGUUUAGGUUUAAAAUUUAAAUAUAUAUACAUUAACCUUAUGAAAUUUCCACUUUGUGAAAUUAUAGGUUUUAGUGUCAUGCCAAAUUUCUAUGUAUUAAUGUUUAAAAUAUAUUAAUUACUUUAUUUUUAAAAUAAAGACAACCUUUUG